GUGCCAGCCGCCGCGGUAAUACGGAGGAUCCAAGCGUUAUCCGGAUUUAUUGGGUUUAAAGGGUGCGUAGGCGGCCUGUUAAGUCAGGGGUGAAAGACGGUAGCUCAACUAUCGCAGUGCCCUUGAUACUGAUGGGCUUGAAUACACUAGAGGUAGGCGGAAUGUGACAAGUAGCGGUGAAAUGCAUAGAUAUGUCACAGAACACCGAUUGCGAAGGCAGCUUACUAUGGUGUCAUUGACGCUGAGGCACGAAAGCGUGGGGAUCAAACAGGAUUAGAUACCCCCGUAGUCC
Molecule: ribosomal RNA, 292 nt
Filed under: uncultured bacterium
Lineage: Bacteria
Description: partial 16S ribosomal RNA
Rfam family: Bacterial small subunit ribosomal RNA
Source: RNAcentral